Molecule: long non-coding RNA, 2310 nt
Organism: Bos taurus (domestic cattle)
Lineage: Eukaryota; Metazoa; Chordata; Mammalia; Artiodactyla; Bovidae
Source: Ensembl
GCUCGCGCCGGGGCCGCCCCUUCCGGGGCUCGAGGGGCCGGAGGGGAGCCCAGCGCCUCUCCGGAGGGCGCCGGCAGCUCGCGGAGCGGUCCCGGCGGCGGCGAAAGGGGAAGUCAGGACUUACCUGUCAUUACUUUCUACGCCAUCUUGGAUCCACUUGUCAACGUCCCCACAAAGCAUUGUGGGUAAGAAAGAGCCUUUAAAGUGACUCCCCUCGGCCCCCGACUCCCGCCUCCGCCGGCGCCGCCCCUCCGGCCGCACCUCCGGCGCGGAAAGUUGCCCGCCGCCUGCCGCGCGGCCCCUCCCCUCCGCCGGCUGUUUGCGUUUAAAAUCCGCCCCCAUCUUUAAAACGGGGCUCCGGGUCUCUGCGGCCGCCGCCGCUCCCGGCCUCCCUUCCCCCACCCCUCGCGUCCACGCGGGCCCCGGCGCCCCCCGGGGCGGACGGACACCCCAAGUCUGCGUCUGAUCGGCCGCGGGCUUCCCGCGCCGGCGGCGAGGAGCCGCUCAGAUUCGUCUGUGCGCGCUGCUGCGUCGGUUUCGGCCCCAGACCCUCGCCGCCCGCCGGCGGGCUUCUGCUCCCCGGGCCGGGGCCCGAGCGCCGGCGCUGGGCCGCCGCGUACGCGGACGGAAGGUGUGUCCAGCCGCCCAACGGCCCGGGACCCUGCGGAGGCCGGCUUCGCGGCGGGGGCAGGGGGCACGAGGCGAAAAGCAACUUUUACCCGCUUGCGGCUCCCUUCCGCGGGCUCUUCCCGGGCCGGCACCGCGAUCCGCGACCCUCAGACGGAGACCCCUCCCCUAGGAAUGUGGCCUCUCUCGGCCGAGUCCGCCCUUCUGCAGUCCGCGCCGCGCGCGUUCUAGGACUUCCCCGGGCAGGUAACGGGGGCGCCGCCUGCGCGCUCGGGCCGGGGCGCAGGGGCGCAAAGGGCUCGGGGGAGGGUCCCGGCGCCGGGCCGGGGAGAGAGGGGGAGCGCGCCCCGCGGUCCACCUGCCGGGUCCCGGGGGUGGGGGGCGCUCUGAGUCGUCCAGGAGAGCGACCCCGCCGCCCACGCCCGCACCCCGGCUGCUGCCCGAGGGCCCCUCGCGGGGCGGCGAGACUGUCCCCCACGCCCUCCGCCCGCAUUCCUUGGCGCGGGGUGGGCCAAGCACCGGCCGGCGCCCUCGCGCCGCGGGCCCCUUGCCCCGGGGAGCGUAGGUCAGUCUGCGGAGCUCUCACUCAUUGCCUCUGGGCUGUGCUUUGCAGACUUUGGGGACUCAGAUUGCUCCUCCCCACCCCCAAGCAGAUUUUUACAAAAAGGUGUCCAAGGGAAAAUCCUCCAGGACAUCGAGACUUGCGAAAUUCACUCAGUAAGCGGAGGACAACAACUGUGGCCGGACCAGCAUCUCUUCAGUAGGUACUUUUCUUGGCCCUGUGUGGGCCUGGACCCAGAGAAGAGUGAUGUUGGCGACUUGCACCCAUUCAUCCAAUCCAAGGUGCAUCAGGCCAGUCCUCCUCCAAGACUGUGACCUGAACAGAAAACCCUACAAAGUCCUCUCCCUGCCUCUACUUUGCCCCUGACAGUCUCUUCUCUAUCUGACCAACCAACCCAGCGAGGUCUGUGCAAGGUUAAUUGUAUCACCUAACUCCUCAGCCGCAGGGAAGGUGUCUCCAACACCUUAGAAUAAAAUCAGAAUUCUAACUAGCCUAUGAGCUCCUGGGACUGCCCCCUCACCAUGACAGCACACUGUCCUUCUGUGUCCCCUGCAAGCCUCCCUCCAGCUGGAUCCUUGUCCCCCAGAUGGGACGAUCAUCAUCUGUUCAGCACUCAGGGCGCAGCUCAGAUGGCACCUCCUGGAAGAGACUUUUCAUGAUUCCCUUAACCAGAGCGGAGUUAGAAAUGUUCUUGUCUGUGUGUCAGUUGAUUGAUUGUUAGAUCUGCCCAGGGCCUUGGAGAAUGAGCUGCAUAGGGGCACAGGCUUUGUCCGGCUUGCUCACUCAGCGCCUCCACCAGGGCCUGGAACAUACAAAAACAUUUCAGCAAACAUUUGUUGAAUGAAUGACCAAACCUUAAUGAGAGUGAGGGGUGGUGGUGAGAGUGCAGAAGCAUGGAAUGAGCAGCUGAAGGUGGGGCGCACCAGAACACUCGGAUUAUACACAGCUGGAGGCAGGCAGGCAGGAUUGGAGUUAAAGAACACAGACUCCUUGACCACCAUUAAUGGGACUCCAUUCUGAUUCUAAUCUGAUGAGCGACAGCUUCAGAUAACUCCCCAGUCACCCCUCUUUGCUUCCUGCAUGUUUUCAGCCCCACAAAGGAUGUGUCUUCUUCCUUGCAG